GUUUCUUCCAAACUCCAGCCAUUUCUGCCCCACACUGCACAAUGGGCAGAGCACUAACCGCCGAAAAAAUACGUUGAACGUUGCACGCGCGGGAGACGUGACCGUUAACUUCAGGGGGAGGCAAACUCAGGUUAGGAUAGCGGAUUGGUCAAAUGAUAGGACCUUAACAAAUAAUGGCCAAUAGUAGUAAUUGUAGGGCGGGUCUUGGCGCUACCAUAGUGGGAGUCGUAAUUUUGCUGGAGGGUGAGAAGUGUCCGUUGGUCACUUCUGCUGCACGUGUUGGCUUUUGUCCCUGCCACGCUGAAAAGGAUGGAGAAAAACAAAGUGCAGGCAAAAAAGAGGCUACGAGUUCCCACUCAGAAAAUGAAGGACCUGAGCACCCCUCCCCCAAAUGAGCAAUCUGGGUAUGUUGCGUUCGUCAGAUGGGAGGAUGGUUAUACCGGAAAAAUCUUUAAAGGAUCUGACAUUUUGGCAAGGGACGAGGCUCCUGUGCAGCUGCAAGAUCUUAGAUCAGGAGAUCCUGUUUUAGCAAAGUGGUCAGAUGGUAAAUUUUAUAGGGCGACUGUUGAAUAUAUUUCAGGGGAAGAUCAGGCUAAGCUGCCAAAAAGCCACCCAACUCCACAGGAGUCCUUUAAAUAUGUUAAAAGGUGAUGAGCCAUCAGAUUCAACGUCAGGGUCCGACACUAUUAUAAUAGAUAGGAGCCCACUGUCUGAGUAUGGCGAGAAAAUCUCAUCGCUGAAUCCGUCAACUGACGGGGGACAUGCAACAGGCCGCAACACAGCUGGACCACCACCCUAUGGGUAGGUUUGUCAUAAUUAUUACAUAAUC
Long non-coding RNA from Etheostoma cragini (Arkansas darter), 829 nucleotides. RefSeq lists it as uncharacterized. The record is from RefSeq and is a predicted model, not a curated record. Lineage: Eukaryota; Metazoa; Chordata; Actinopteri; Perciformes; Percidae. The transcript has 3 exons.